Molecule: ribosomal RNA, 446 nt
Filed under: uncultured bacterium
Lineage: Bacteria
Description: bacterial SSU rRNA
Rfam family: Bacterial small subunit ribosomal RNA
Source: RNAcentral
AACGAACGCUGGCGGCAGGCUUAACACAUGCAAGUCGAACGGAUCCUUCGGGAUCAGUGGCAGACGGGUGAGUAACGCGUGGGAACCUACCCUGGGGUGGGGAAUAACCUUGGGAAACCGAGGCUAAUACCGCAUACGCCCUAUUGGGGAAAGACUAUGUUGCCCUGGGAUGGGCCCGCGUCCGAUUAGCUAGUUGGUGGGGUAAUGGCCUACCAAGGCUGCGAUCGGUAGCUGGUCUGAGAGGAUGAUCAGCCACACUGGGACUGAGACACGGCCCAGACUCCUACGGGAGGCAGCAGUGGGGAAUAUUGGACAAUGGGGGCAACCCUGAUCCAGCCAUGCCGCGUGAGUGAAGAAGGCCUUAGGGUUGUAAAGCUCUUUCACCCGUGACGAUGAUGACGGUAGCGGGAGAAGAAGCCCCGGCUAAUUCCGUGCCAGCAGCCGCG